UAGCUCAUUAAAUCCCAUUGGCAUUGCAUUGCAUUGGCAUUGCAUUUGUGCAGGAGCCGGACAGCGUCUCGGCUCACCCACAGCAUCUUCUGGCCAGGCAUCUCUGUGAGGCAUCUGGCAGUACUGCCAGAUGUCUGCCAGAGAGUGGGGAAGAGAAGGGACCAGCCCAGGGCCUCUACCUAUUAAUGAAGAUCCGUUAGGCAGAGUAGCUGUCAACAUUAUAGUUGCGCAUGCACUUUGAUGACUCUAGAGAACCUCGGGCCAAUCGCACAUUCCCGUGACAGCGACGACGCAUUCGGAUGUCUGCCCUAUCAACUUUUGAUGGACUUUCUGCGCCUACCAUGGUGAUCAUGGGUAACCGGGAAUCAGGGUUCGAUUUCAGAG
This is a non-coding RNA of Pelobates cultripes (western spadefoot toad), 384 nucleotides long. NCBI's taxonomy places the organism in Eukaryota, Metazoa, Chordata, Amphibia, Anura, Pelobatidae. The record is from the annotation of a GenBank genome assembly.